AGUACUACGCCGGAUGAACGGGAAUCAUUGAUGUUGAUUAAUAUAGGAUAAGAUUUGUCUUUAGUGCUA
RNAcentral lists this transfer RNA (69 nucleotides) under Oxymeris dimidiata (dimidiate auger shell). RNAcentral's name for it is "tRNA-Ile". The record is from RNAcentral. Lineage: Eukaryota; Metazoa; Mollusca; Gastropoda; Neogastropoda; Terebridae.